CCUACGGGUGGCAGCAGUGGGGAAUAUUGGGCAAUGGGCGCAAGCCUGACCCAGCAACGCCGCGUGAAGGAAGAAGGCUUUCGGGUUGUAAACUUCUUUUCUCAGGGACGAAGAAAGUGACGGUAACUGAGGAAUAAGCUACGGCUAACUACGUGCCAGCAGCCGCGGUAAUACGUAGGUGGCAAGCGUUAUCCGGAUUUACUGGGUGCAAAGGGAGCGCAGACGGUUUUGCAAGUCUGGAGUGAAAGGCGGGGGCCCAACCCGCGGACUGCUCUGGAAACUGUAAAGCUGGAGUGCAGGAGAGGAGAGCGGAAUUCCUAGUGUAGCGGUGAAAUGCGUAGAUAUUAGGAGGAACACCAGUGGCGAAGGCGGCUUACUGGACUGCAACUGACGUUGAGGCUCGAAAGCGUGGGGAGCAAACAGGAUUAGAUACCCGAGUAGUC
RNAcentral lists this ribosomal RNA (443 nucleotides) under uncultured bacterium. Its description in RNAcentral is "partial 16S ribosomal RNA". It matches the Rfam family "Bacterial small subunit ribosomal RNA", at positions 338 to 795 of the family's 1533-position model. The record is from RNAcentral.